CCACAGGCCAUUCUUCUUUAAAUCUAACGAAACCUACAAAAUAAUAUGCACCAAGAAUCAUUAAACUAAAUAAAUUUAAAAAAAUUGAAAAAGCUCCCCAAAAGACUAACAAAAAGAAAGAAAGAAAAAGAUCUAUCGUCCCAACUUUUUCUUCUCAACUUUUCACACCAUAAUGAAUAUUGAUCUCACUUUUUAUACACAAAUAACGUUUUCAGAGCUAACUUAUAAAGCAACAUGAUUACAAACUAAAUAAAUAAUAAAAUAAUUCAAAAACCCCAACUCUUUUCUCUAUGGAUCCUAAUCAUUAAUCCACUAAAACACACCAAGAAAUACUCUCCAC
This 340-nucleotide long non-coding RNA is filed under the name Olea europaea (common olive). RNAcentral's name for it is "long non-coding RNA (OEUR_LNC011437)". The record is from RNAcentral. Lineage: Eukaryota; Viridiplantae; Streptophyta; Magnoliopsida; Lamiales; Oleaceae.